This 450-nucleotide ribosomal RNA is filed under the name uncultured bacterium. Its description in RNAcentral is "partial 16S ribosomal RNA". It matches the Rfam family "Bacterial small subunit ribosomal RNA", at positions 28 to 507 of the family's 1533-position model. The record is from RNAcentral.
GAUGAACGCUGGCGGCGUGCCUAACACAUGCAAGUCGAGCGGCAGCGAGGGGUGCUUGCACCCUGUCGGCGAGCGGGGACGGCUGAGUAACGCGUGGGAACGUGCCCCAAAGUGAGGAAUAACUGCCCGAAAGGGUAGCUAAUACCGCAUAUUAUCUUCGGAUCAAAGGAUUUAUCCGCUUUGGGAGCGGCUCGCGUCGGAUUAGGUAGUUGGUGAGGUAAUGGCUCACCAAGCCGACGAUCCGUAGCUGGUCUGAGAGGAUGACCAGCCAGACUGGAACUGAGACACGGUCCAGACUCCUACGGGAGGCAGCAGUGAGGAAUCUUCCACAAUGGGCGAAAGCCUGAUGGAGCAACGCCGCGUGCAGGACGAAGGCCUUCGGGUUGUAAACUGCUUUUAUAAGUGAGGAAUAUGACGGUAACUUAUGAAUAAGGAUCGGCUAACUACGUG